UACGGAGGAUGCGAGCGUUAUCCGGAUUUAUUGGGUUUAAAGGGUGCGUAGGCGGACUGUCAAGUCAGCGGUGAAAUUGAGAGGCUCAACCUCUUCCCGCCGUUGAAACUGGUGGUCUUGAGUGGAUGAGAAGUACGCGGAAUGCGUGGUGUAGCGGUGAAAUGCAUAGAUAUCACGCAGAACUCCGAUUGCGAAGGCAGCGUACCGGCAUCCAACUGACGCUGAGGCACGAAAGCGUGGGGAUCAAACAGG
RNAcentral lists this ribosomal RNA (252 nucleotides) under uncultured bacterium. Its description in RNAcentral is "partial 16S ribosomal RNA". It matches the Rfam family "Bacterial small subunit ribosomal RNA", at positions 524 to 776 of the family's 1533-position model. The record is from RNAcentral.